AUGGUGAAAGUCCCGAAAACCCGUCGGACAUUCUGUAAGAAGUGUGACAAGCACCAACCUCACAAAGUGAGACAGUACAAGGACGGCAAGGAUUCUCUGUACGCCCAGGGGAAGUGGCGUUAUGACAGGAAGCAGAGUGGCUAUGGUGGGCAGACUAAGCCGAUUUUCCGGAAAAAGGCUAAAACUACAAAGAAGAUUGUGCUGGGGCUUGAGUGCAUUCAGCCCAACUGCAGAUCCAAGAGAAUGCUGGCUACCGAAAGAUGCAAGCAUUUUGAACUGGGAGGAGAUAAGAAGAGAAAGGGCCAAAUGAUCCAGUUC
This 318-nucleotide long non-coding RNA is filed under the name Homo sapiens (human). RNAcentral's name for it is "non-protein coding lnc-SYT8-3:1". Lineage: Eukaryota; Metazoa; Chordata; Mammalia; Primates; Hominidae. The record is from RNAcentral.